GGAUUAGGCAUGCAAGUCGAACGAGGAAGUGCCCCGUAANGCAAGCCUAGUGGCGAAAGGGUGAGUAAUGCAUUGAUAACCUGCCUUUGAGAUGGGAAUAACUGCGUUUCGAGCAAUCGGAACUACCGAAAGGGCUGCUAAUACCCAAUAAUACUAUAGGUGCAAAAGCACUUGUGGUCAAAUGCUAGGAAUUCUGUUCCUUGUGCUUAAAGAGGGGUUAAUGUCCUAUCAGCUAGUUGGUGGGGUAAUGGCCUACCAAGGCAAAGACGGGUAGCCGGCUUGAGAGGGUGGUCGGCCACACUGGGACUGAGACACUGCCCAGACUCCUACGGGAGGCUGCAGUCGAGAAUCUUUCGCAAUGCCCGAAAGGUGACGAAGCGACGCCGCGUGUGGGAAGAAGGCCUUCGGGUUGUAAACCACUGUCGGGAGUUAGGAAAUGCAGGUGCGUUAAUAGCGCACUCGCUUGACUAAGGCUCCAGAGGAAGCCACGGCUAACUCUGUGCCAGCAGCCGCGGUAAUACAGAGGCGGCAAGCGUUGUUCGGAAUUAUUGGGCGUAAAGAGCACGUAGGCGGCCUUGCAAGUCAGCUGGUGGAGCGGUGAAAUGCGUAGAUANCAGAAGGAACGCCGGCGGCGAAAGCGACUCUCUGGUCCGAAACGUGACGCUGAGUGUGCGAAAGCUAGGGGAGCAAACGGGAUUAGAUACCCCGGUAGUCCUAGCCGUAAACGAUGGGCACUAAGUAGAGGGGUUUUGAUUAUUUCUCUGCCGGACCUAACGCAUUAAGUGCCCCGCCUGGGGAGUACGGCCGCAAGGCUAAAACUCAAAAGAAUUGACGGGGGCUCGCACAAGCGGUGGAGCAUGUGGCUUAAUUCGAUGCAACGCGAAGAACCUUACCGGGGCUUGACAUGGUAGAAGUAGAAUCCUGAAAGGGUGACNGAUCGGUAUCCAGUCCGAAGCUAUCACAGGUGUUGCAUGGCUGUCGUCAGCUCGUGUCGUGAGACGUUGGGUUAAGUCCCCUAACGAGCGAAACCCUUGUCUUUAGUUGCUAACGGGUAAUGCUGAGCACUUUAGAGAGACUGCCGUCGUUAAGACGGAGGAAGGUGGGGACGACGUCAAGUCAUCAUGGCCCUUAUGUCCCGGGCUGCACACGUGCUACAAUGGUCGGUACAAAGGGAUGCUAAGUCGCGAGAUGGUGCGAAACCUAUAAAGCCGAUCUCAGUUCAGAUUGGAGGCUGAAACUCGCCUCCAUGAAGUUGGAAUCGCUAGUAAUCGCGGAUCACUACGCCGCGGUGAAUAUGUUCCCGAGCCUUGUACACACCGCCCGUCAAGCCACCCAAGCAAGAUGCACCCAAAAUCGCCUGCCUAACCCGUAAGGGAGGGAAGUGCCUAAGGUGUGUUUUGUGAGGAGGACUAAGUCGUAACAAGGUAG
Molecule: ribosomal RNA, 1428 nt
Filed under: uncultured bacterium
Lineage: Bacteria
Description: 16S ribosomal RNA
Rfam family: Bacterial small subunit ribosomal RNA
Source: RNAcentral